GGCGAACGCUGGCGGCGUGCCUAAUACAUGCAAGUCGAACGCUUCUUUCCUCCCGAGUGCUUGCACUCAAUUGGAAAGAGGAGUGGCGGACGGGUGAGUAACACGUGGGUAACCUACCCAUCAGAGGGGGAUAACACUUGGAAACAGGUGCUAAUACCGCAUAACAGUUUAUGCCGCAUGGCAUAAGAGUGAAAGGCGCUUUCGGGUGUCGCUGAUGGAUGGACCCGCGGUGCAUUAGCUAGUUGGUGAGGUAACGGCUCACCAAGGCCACGAUGCAAAGCCGACCUGAGAGGGUGAUCGGCCACACUGGGACUGAGACACGGCCCAGACUCCUACGGGAGGCAGCAGUAGGGAAUCUUCGGCAAUGGACGAAAGUCUGACCGAGCAACGCCGCGUGAGUGAAGAAGGUUUUCGGAUCGUAAAACUCUGUUGUUAGAGAAGAACAAGGACGUUAGUAACUGAACGUCCCCUGACGGUAUCUAAACAGAAAGCCACGGCUAACUACGUG
RNAcentral lists this ribosomal RNA (508 nucleotides) under uncultured bacterium. RNAcentral describes it as "partial 16S ribosomal RNA". It matches the Rfam family "Bacterial small subunit ribosomal RNA", at positions 28 to 507 of the family's 1533-position model. The record is from RNAcentral.